UGGGUUUGACAUGUACGUAGUAGGAAUCCGAAAGGUGACCGACCCCUCGGGGAGCGUACACAGGUGCUGCAUGGCUGUCGUCAGCUCGUGCCGUGAGGUGUCCGGUUAAGUCCGGUAACGAGCGCAACCCUUGCUCUGUGUUAUAUGUGUCACAGAGGACUGCCGGUAUAAAGCCGGAGGAAGGUGGGGAUGACGUCAAGUCAGCAUGGCCUUUAUAUCCAGGGCUACACACACGCUACAAUGGCCGGUACAAUGGGUCGCGAAGCCGCGAGGCGGAGCCAAUCCUCCAAAGCCGGUCUCAGUUCGGAUUGUAGGCUGCAACCCGCCUGCAUGAAGU
Molecule: ribosomal RNA, 337 nt
Filed under: uncultured bacterium
Lineage: Bacteria
Description: bacterial SSU rRNA
Rfam family: Bacterial small subunit ribosomal RNA
Source: RNAcentral